AACUGAUCAUAAUGUGUAAAAGGGUGUAAUGUAUAAUUAGAAAGACAUAAGUAAAACUCAAUUAUUGAGCCACAAUUUUCAUGAAUUAAACUUUACCAUCCACAGAUAAGUCCUUAUUGCUUGUUAAUCUUGGGUGCCUGCACUACACUUGAUUUUAAAAUAGUUGGUCUUCAAUAAAUUUUCAAGAUUUUCCUGAGCAGAUACAAAUUCAGGUUUUGAUGUGCUUCAAACUAAGGAACAUCAUCUUUCAUGAAAUGUUUCCAGUAGAUGUGAUGUGAGUGAAAACUAAAAACAGUCAUACUUAUUGCUACAUUUGACUAGCAAAUAAAAGGAAUAAAGUAUUUUCCCUUUGCUACAAAUUAAUAAUACAAUCACAUGCAUAGAGAAUGUGAGGAACCUCCAACACUAAACUUUGAUAUUCACAUUAUGUGAAAUUUGAAAUUUUCUGGGUGACAGUAUACUUAUUGGUAGGUUUUCUGGUUCAUAAAAAUAACUCAAGAGCUAAUAAUAUUUGUAAUUGUGACCUUGUUGUAAUUGGGAAAAGCCACUGGUUGAUCAUACGACCUUUAUUGAAUAUGUCAUGCUUGCUGUUUAAAAAAUUCCUAACUAAUCACAUGCAAAUUAAUGCUAAACAACUUUUUUGUAUUUAUUAAAAAUAAUUUAAAUAUA
RNAcentral lists this small RNA (669 nucleotides) under Pongo abelii (Sumatran orangutan). RNAcentral's name for it is "sense overlapping". The record is from RNAcentral. Lineage: Eukaryota; Metazoa; Chordata; Mammalia; Primates; Hominidae.